GUUUCUUACUUAAAAACAAACAAGUAACUUAUCUAUUGGGAGAUAAGCACAGCUCGGCAAUUAACAAUGGAGCGAAUACUAUUUUUGACCGAGUAACUUGAUAAAAAUUAAACAAGGAAUUGGCUGCGUAGCCCGCAAAGUCAGCCAUUUCUAUCAAAUCAAAGUCGAGUGACGAACGUGUCUGUAGAAGCGCCGCCUCAGCACCUACAAGGCAGAUUCAAAUUUACAUUAAAAACUUUUCAUCAUCAUUUUGAAUUUUAAUCAAACUAUUAUAUAAGAGCAAGAUGCAGAAGACAAACUAUUAGGGCUCAAAAACAGCCAUGGACAGCCGUAGAACUAAAGUGGCAAGACUCUACAGAGACGAAGCUAAUUGCUGCAAAAUAGUUAACUAUAGCUCCAAUACCUCACUACAAUGAAUAUGCGGCUCUUAAAAAACCCAAAGGAUAUCUUCUGCUAGAAAAAGAUUGUGAAAACCAAAGGACAAUAUAUCACUGAAAGCUUCCCCACAAUCAAGCCAAAAAUAUUUGAAUUAGUAAGUUACUUCUGAUCAAGCAAGA
This is a long non-coding RNA of Colias croceus (clouded yellow), 557 nucleotides long. RefSeq lists it as uncharacterized. NCBI's taxonomy places the organism in Eukaryota, Metazoa, Arthropoda, Insecta, Lepidoptera, Pieridae. The record is from RefSeq and is a predicted model, not a curated record. The transcript is spliced from 2 exons.